RNAcentral lists this ribosomal RNA (717 nucleotides) under uncultured archaeon. RNAcentral's name for it is "bacterial SSU rRNA". It matches the Rfam family "Archaeal small subunit ribosomal RNA", at positions 1 to 698 of the family's 1478-position model. The record is from RNAcentral.
UUCCGGUUGAUCCCGCCGGACCCCACUGCUAUCGAGAUGGGACUAAGGUAUGCUAGUCGAACGACCAGAACUAUGUCUGGGAGUGGCACACUGCUCAGUAACACGUAGCUGACCUACCCUUAGGACGUGGAUACCCCCGAGAAAUUGGGGUUAAUCCGCGAUAGAUGUAAUGUCCUGGAAUGGUAUUACGUCUAAAGGUAUUUCAUACAUGUUUGAAAUAUGCCUAAGGAUGGGGCUGCGGCCGAUCAGGCUGUUGGUGAGGUAAUGGCUCACCAAACCUUUGACCGGUACGGGCCAUGAGAGUGGUAGCCCGGAGAUGGACACUGAGACAAGGGUCCAGGCCCUAAGGGGCGCAGCAACCGCGAAACCUCCACAAUGCACUCACGUGCGGUGGGGCUAUCUCGAGUGCCACCUGAUGAAGGUGGCUUUUCCUUGGUCUUCAAAGCCUUGGGAAUAAGAGGGGGGCAAGACUGGUGUCAGCCGCCGCGGUAACACCAGCCCCUCGAGUGGUGGGGAUGAUUAUUUGGCCUAAAGCGUCCGUAGCCGGCCGUGAAAGUCUUCCGUUAAAUCCAGCGUCUCAAGCGUUGGACCGCGGGAGAUACUACAUGGCUAGAGAGUGGGAGAGGUCAGCGGUAUUCUGGGGGUAGGGGCGAAAUCCUUUGAUCCCCGGAGGACCACCAGUGGCGAAGGCUGCUGACUAGAAACACGUCUGACGGU